UGGGGAAUAUUGCGCAAUGGGCGAAAGCCUGACGCAGCGACGCCGCGUGAGGGAUGAAGGUUUUCGGAUCGUAAACCUCUGUCAGAAGGGAAGAAACCGCACUGUGCUAAUCAGCAGUGCCUUGACGGUACCUUCAAAGGAAGCACCGGCUAACUCCGUGCCAGCAGCCGCGGUAAUACGGAGGGUGCAAGCGUUAAUCGGAAUUACUGGGCGUAAAGCGCACGUAGGCUGCUUUGUAAGUCAGGGGUGAAAUCCCACGGCUCAACCGUGGAACUGCCUUUGAUACUGCUUAGCUUGAAUCCGGGAGAGGGGGGCGGAAUUCCAGGUGUAGGAGUGAAAUCCGUAGAUAUCUGGAGGAACAUCAGUGGCGAAGGCGGCCACCUGGACCGGUAUUGACGCUGAGGUGCGAAAGCGUGGGGAGCAAACAGG
This 429-nucleotide ribosomal RNA is filed under the name Fusobacteriota bacterium. RNAcentral's name for it is "Fusobacteria bacterium partial 16S ribosomal RNA". It matches the Rfam family "Bacterial small subunit ribosomal RNA", at positions 355 to 776 of the family's 1533-position model. Lineage: Bacteria; Fusobacteriati; Fusobacteriota. The record is from RNAcentral.